GUGUUUGCUUUGGCAGCACAUAUGCUAAAAUUGGAACAAUACAGAGAAGAUUUGCAUAGACUGCUCAAGGAUGACACACAAAUUCAUGAAGCAUUCCAUAUUUGG
Molecule: small nuclear RNA, 105 nt
Organism: Talpa occidentalis (Iberian mole)
Lineage: Eukaryota; Metazoa; Chordata; Mammalia; Eulipotyphla; Talpidae
Source: RefSeq, a predicted model, not a curated record